Molecule: ribosomal RNA, 253 nt
Filed under: uncultured bacterium
Lineage: Bacteria
Description: partial 16S ribosomal RNA
Rfam family: Bacterial small subunit ribosomal RNA
Source: RNAcentral
UACGGUGGGGGCUAGCGUUGUUCGGAAUUACUGGGCGUAAAGCGCACGUAGGCGGAUCAGAAAGUCAGAGGUGAAAUCCCAGGGCUCAACCUUGGAACUGCCUUUGAAACUCCUGAUCUUGAGGUCGAGAGAGGUGAGUGGAAUUCCGAGUGUAGAGGUGAAAUUCGUAGAUAUUCGGAGGAACACCAGUGGCGAAGGCGGCUCACUGGCUCGAUACUGACGCUGAGGUGCGAAAGCGUGGGGAGCUAACAGG